AGCAGUAGCCGCGGGAAUACGUAGGUGGCAGGCGUUGUCCGGAAUUAUUGGGCGUAAAGCGCGCGCAGGCGGAUAGGUCAGUCUGUCUUAAAAGUUCGGGGCUUAACCCCGUGAUGGGAUGGAAACUGCCAAUCUAGAGUAUCGGAGAGGAAAGUGGAAUUCCUAGUGUAGCGGUGAAAUGCGUAGAGAUUAGGAGGAACACCGAAGGCGAAGGCAGCCCCUUGGGAAUGUACUGACGCUCAUGUGCGAAAGCGUGGGGAGCAAACAGGAUUAGAUACCCCUGUAGUCCCUGUCUCUUAUACA
RNAcentral lists this ribosomal RNA (303 nucleotides) under uncultured bacterium. RNAcentral's name for it is "partial 16S ribosomal RNA". It matches the Rfam family "Bacterial small subunit ribosomal RNA", at positions 507 to 808 of the family's 1533-position model. The record is from RNAcentral.